AGACUAAGGAACCAAACGGAUCUAAAGGCCCUGGAUCUGCCCUCAUGCAGUCUGAACCUAGGUGAUCUCAGAAGGGUGGGUGUGUACCUGGAUUAUGAGGGAGGGCAGGUGUCCUUCUACAAUGCUACGAACAUGACCCAUCUUUACACCUUCACUAGUGUUUUCCUGGAGAAACUUUUCCCCUACUUGUGCCCCUGCCUUAAUGACGGUGGGGAGAAUAAAGAGCCAUUGCACAUCGUACAUCCACAGUGAUUAAGUUAUACUAUUGUAUAAAUUCAGGGCGUUAUUAAAGUAUUGAAAUAGUUC
RNAcentral lists this long non-coding RNA (306 nucleotides) under Rattus norvegicus (Norway rat). RNAcentral describes it as "long non-coding RNA NONRATT018533". Lineage: Eukaryota; Metazoa; Chordata; Mammalia; Rodentia; Muridae. The record is from RNAcentral.